AGUCCGGCUGGCCGCUCACGCGUCGGGCCCCCAUUUACUCUCGUUACUGAGGAGACACGGCUCCAGUUUUGACCCGACUACGGUUGUUUUCUUCGUGUGUACCGCGAAAUGCUGAUGACGUCCGGUUCCGCGCAGUUUUUUUCCUAUUUCGUUUCCAACCACAGUUGUGCGGUUCACAGAUUUUUCCCUUGGGAUGUGUUUUCCAUACCUCCAAGCCCACUCUCAGAGCCUUGGGGCCCCAUAAAACUUCAUGCGCAGCUGCUUUCUGGUAUUUGCAGACCUGGAAGGCUUCUCGUAUUCUUAAUUUGGGGAAGAGAGACAUAGGUUUCCUUGUACAACGGGAUGAGGAUUUAAGAGCAGAACGACACUGAUAUUUUAAAGGCGAGGGUAUUUAGAUUUGUGGAGCUGAAACUUGCCUGAAAAGGGAGACAAAAUUUGGAAGUUUGUUGUGUGCAGUUUCUGCCCCUUACCCCCGCCCUUCACUUUUAAACUGCGCAUAUAUCAACAAUAGUUACGGUUGUUGCAGCAGUCUAAAUUUGAUUAUCAGAAUUGACCCUAGGCAUGAAUUUUUUUUUAAAUAUACCAAUGUCGUGUUAUAUACACUUAUACCAUUAUGUCCAGACUUCUCUUAAGCAUAGUUCGUGGUGGGCAGUUUUGUGGUCAUUUAGGGAUGAACUUGGGUAGGGAAAGCUGAGCAUACAUAAUUUAUUUUAGGAAUGCACCAGUUCUGCCAACAUUUAUCAGAAGUCACGUUUUUAAAAAGCUAUUCUGGAACUGAAGAUGUCAUUGGUUUAUAAGAGGAAAAUGGAAGCCAAAAGCUUACACCUCAUGCUCUAUCUUUAAAAAUUAAGGUGGCAGACACAAUGAGUAGAAGGCUUUUAUGUUACCAGAAUGAAGGCUUAAAAUCUGUCAUUUUAUUGACUCGGCUUUCUUUUUAGAAAUUUCUUUAAGAUAUAAAAGCAAUGUGGAAUAUCACUCUUUCACACUCUUAAAAUAGAUUACGUUCUCUGGAACUUCUCUAAUCUGAAAUGUGUUCAAAAAGGAAAAAGAUCUUUAAAAUACGCCAGUUAGUCUAUGGUAUAAUAUUAAACACUAUUCAUCACUAGAGAAGUUAUGGUGGUAUACCCUCCCCUUUCUCAGAUGUCCACCUUAAUGCCAGAAAUGAGCGGAGUUUCCCUUUGUUGUGCAAAAUGACUGUGUCCUUGAGGGAUGUUUGGAUGCUCUUGGUAAACCGGAAUCAGCCAGAAGCAUAUCCGGUGUUAGCCUUGUUGUGUCAUCAACAUUACAACAGUGAGGAAACCCACAUAUUCCAAUGAAAGAGGAAAACUUAAAGAAGAAGUUUCCAGUGUAUUUUCUUUGAGAUAUAUUUAUUCCUAUGACCUCAGAAGAUCAGCUUUUACCGUCCAAGGUUCACUUUGCCUAAAAGCUGAUUGUUCCUGUGGAAACAGUAGCAUCGGAUGACCCUACAAACAAAGCAUUAUGACAUCAUCAGAGCCAACAACCUGGCAUGACAGAUACUAAUAAGGAAAAAAGAGGUUACAAGAAUUCUGACACUCAUCACAGUGGAUCCAAUAUCUGGUCCCUUGGGUUUCAUAUAUGUUAGAAGUAUCUUCUCAGGAGGGAAAAGUCAAUGCCAGUCAUAUCCUUUCUAGCUAUUAGAAAUGUCCAUCAGCUUACGAGGAGAUUCUCCCUCAUCUCACAAACUACCUGCAUCUCCACUUCCCUGGAAGAAAAAAAAAAUCUGGACAUACCCAAGCUGUGUAUGUGCCUGAGAUCUUCCCUUCCAAGGUAAAGAGAGAGCCUGAGACAGGUCUAAAUUAGCAUCUGGACUUUCUGCUAGUAAAGAAAAGGAAAUAUGGGAAACUAAAUAGUAACAUUAAAGGACCCACAAAGGGACUACUGGGUAAGUGCUAUAAUGGAUAAUGUAAUGUGAUUUAUGAAUGCUUUUGUUCUAGUGAUUUAUUAAACUGGGAAGUCAGAAGCA
Long non-coding RNA from Homo sapiens (human), 1984 nucleotides. NCBI's taxonomy places the organism in Eukaryota, Metazoa, Chordata, Mammalia, Primates, Hominidae. The record is from Ensembl.